ACAAUGCGGGACUAUACGUCUUGCAAUUGGAUUGAGAACAAUGUACAACUCUUAUCGAUAAGCCAUUGGAGGGCAAGUCUGGUGCCAGCAGCCGCGGUAAUUCCAGCUCCAAUAGCGUAUAUUAACGUUGUUGCAGUUAAAAAGCUCGUAGUUGAAGUGUGGGUGAUCGCUGUUGUGAGACUUCGGUCUCUCGAUAGUAAGUCACCCCCUUCCAGUAUCCAGUAGUGGGUAUUCAGUUACUUACUAUUGUGUGUUGGUCGUUUACUGUGAGAAAAUUAGAGUGUUCAAAGCAGGCGUUUGCUUGAAUAGAUUAGCAUGGAAUAAUAAUUGAAGGCUUUCGUGUUCGAUUUGAUUGGUUUGUUCAUGGAAGCAAGGUUAAAAGGAACAGUUGGGGGUAUUCAUAUUCACUAGUUAGAGGUGAAAUUCUCGGAUUUAUGGAAGAU
RNAcentral lists this ribosomal RNA (443 nucleotides) under Blastocystis sp. subtype 1. RNAcentral describes it as "SSU rRNA". It matches the Rfam family "Eukaryotic small subunit ribosomal RNA", at positions 477 to 936 of the family's 1831-position model. Lineage: Eukaryota; Bigyra; Opalinata; Blastocystidae. The record is from RNAcentral.